CUUUCUCCGCCGGCGACCGGCGCACGGGUGAGUAACACGUAUGCAACCUGCCCCUGUCAGGGGGACAACCGCCGAAAGGCGGGCUAAACCCGCGUACAUGCACCGGGGCAUCCCGGAGGCAGGAAAGGCUUCGGCCGGACAGGGAUGGGCAUGCGGCGCAUUAGGCAGUAGGCGGGGUAACGGCCCACCUAACCGACGAUGCGUAGGGGUUCUGAGAGGAAGGUCCCCCACACUGGUACUGAGACACGGACCAGACUCCUACGGGAGGCAGCAG
Molecule: ribosomal RNA, 274 nt
Filed under: uncultured bacterium
Lineage: Bacteria
Description: partial 16S ribosomal RNA
Rfam family: Bacterial small subunit ribosomal RNA
Source: RNAcentral